CAUGGCCUUUUGAUUAUGAAUUUAAGGUUUAGCCUGCCCAAUGAUUAUUUAAUGGCCGCGGUAUUUUGACCGUGCAAAGGUAGCAUAAUAAUUAGUUUCUUAAUUAGAAGCUGGAAUGAAUGGUUGAACGAGAUGAUUUCUGUCUCUUUUUUAAUUUUUAUAAAAUUUAAUUUUUAAGUAAAAAAGCUUAAAUAAUUUAAUAAGACGAGAAGACCCUAUAGAGUUUAAUAUUUAAUUUUUGUUGAAGAUUUUAGAAUUUAUUAUUUGAUUUAAAUUGAAUAUUUUGUUGGGGUGAUAGAAAGAUUAAUUGAACUCUUUUUAAAAAUUUAUACUGAUAAGUAUGUUUUUGAUCCAUAAUUAUAUGAUUAAAAGAUUAAAUUACCUUAGGGAUAACAGCGUUAUUUUUUUUGAGAGUUCUAAUCGAUAAAAGAAAUUGCGACCUCGAUGUUGGAUUAAGGUUUAUUUUGGGAGCAAAAGCUUAAAUAUUGGGUCUGUUCGACCUUUAAAACUUUACAUGAUCUGAGU
This 525-nucleotide ribosomal RNA is filed under the name Sostea sp. UPOL RK0716. RNAcentral's name for it is "partial 16S ribosomal RNA". It matches the Rfam family "Bacterial large subunit ribosomal RNA", at positions 1826 to 2610 of the family's 2925-position model. The record is from RNAcentral. Lineage: Eukaryota; Metazoa; Arthropoda; Insecta; Coleoptera; Dryopidae.